AGCUCCAAUAGCGUAUAUUAAAGUUGUUGCAGUUAAAAAGCUCGUAGUUGGAUCUCGGGUGCAGGCUGGCGGUCUCACUCUCGUGGGUACUGCCCGUCCUCGCCUCAUUGGUCGGUCUCCUCUUGGUGCCCUUAGCUGGGUGUCUCGAGUGGCCGGAACGUUUACUUUGAAAAAAUUAGAGUGUUCAAAGCAGGCCGCCGCGCCUGAAUAAUGUUGCAUGGAAUAAUGGAAUAGGACCUCGGUUCUAUUUUGUUGGUUUCUGGAAGUCGAGGUAAUGAUUAAGAGGGACAGACGGGGGCAUUCGUAUUACGGUGUUAGAGGUGAAAUUCUUGGAUCGCCGUAAGACGAACUACUGCGAAAGCAUUUGCCAAGAAUGUUUUCAUUAAUCAAGAACGAAAGU
Molecule: ribosomal RNA, 400 nt
Filed under: phytoplankton environmental sample
Lineage: Eukaryota
Description: partial small subunit ribosomal RNA
Rfam family: Eukaryotic small subunit ribosomal RNA
Source: RNAcentral